ACGGCGUAGUAAUGUGUAGGAACGUGCCCUCUGGACGGGGAUAGCUACGGGAAACUGUAGGUAAUACCCGAUGAUCUCUGCGGAGCAAAGGUGUGAUUCCGCCGGAGGAGCGGCUUACAUGAUAUUAGCUAGUUGGUGGGGUAAUGGCCCACCAAGGCGAUGAUGUCUAGGGGGUGUGAGAGCAUGGCCCCCACGACCGGAACUGAGAUACUGUCCGGACACCUACGGGUGGCUGCAGUCGAGAAUCUUCCGCAAUGGACGAAAGUCUGACGGAGCGAUGCCGCGUGCGGGAUGAAGGCCCUUGGGUUGUAAACCGCUGUCAGAGGGGAUGAAAUCUCCGGAGGUUCUCCUCCGGAGUUGACAGAGCCUCAGAGGAAGCACGGGCUAAGUAUGUGCCAGCAGCCGCGGUAAUACAUACUGUGCGAACGUUAUUCGGAAUCACUGGGCUUAAAGGGUGCGUAGGCGGCGAUUCAAGUCAGAUGUGAAAUGCCUGAGCUCAACUGAGGCAUUGCGUUUGAAACUGGAUUGCUGGAGUGUCCCAGGGGUGUGCGGAACUGCCAGUGGAGCGGUGAAAUGUGUUGA
This 582-nucleotide ribosomal RNA is filed under the name uncultured bacterium. Its description in RNAcentral is "bacterial SSU rRNA". It matches the Rfam family "Bacterial small subunit ribosomal RNA", at positions 102 to 694 of the family's 1533-position model. The record is from RNAcentral.